AGCUUAACAGAGCAACUGACUUGUAAUCAGUAGGUUGGGGGUUCAAGUCCUCUGGCCG
RNAcentral lists this transfer RNA (58 nucleotides) under Bacillus amyloliquefaciens. Its description in RNAcentral is "tRNA-Thr". It matches the Rfam family "tRNA", at positions 9 to 63 of the family's 71-position model. Rfam says of the family: Transfer RNA (tRNA) molecules are approximately 80 nucleotides in length. Their secondary structure includes four short double-helical elements and three loops (D, anti-codon, and T loops). The record is from RNAcentral. Lineage: Bacteria; Bacillati; Bacillota; Bacilli; Caryophanales; Bacillaceae.